Molecule: ribosomal RNA, 493 nt
Filed under: uncultured bacterium
Lineage: Bacteria
Description: partial 16S ribosomal RNA
Rfam family: Bacterial small subunit ribosomal RNA
Source: RNAcentral
ACGAACGCUGGCGGCGUGCUUAACACAUGCAAGUCGAACGGAAAGGCCUGCUUUCCCUUGUGGAUUGCGGGUACUCGAGUGGCGAACGGGUGAGUAACACGUGAGUGAUCUGCCCCCAACUUGGGUAUAAGCCUGGGAAACUGGGUCUAAUUCCCGAUAGGACUGCAGGGUGGUGCCUGUGGUGGAAAACGAUUUUCUAGUGGUUGGGGAUGAGCUCGCGGCCUAUCAGCUUGUUGGUGGGGUAAUGGCCUACCAAGGCGGCGACGGGUAGCCGGCCUGAGAGGGUGGACGGCCACAUUGGGACUGAGAUACGGCCCAGACUCCUACGGGAGGCAGCAGUGGGGAAUAUUGCACAAUGGGCGGAAGCCUGAGGCAGCGACGCCGCGUGGGGGAUGACGGCCUUCGGGUUGUAAACUCCUUUCGACCGCGAGGAAGCCACCUGGUUGGAAGGGUGGUGACGGUAGUGGUAGAAGAAGCACCGGCUAACUACGUG